GUCGAGGGGUAGUUAUCUUCUGAUAAUGAGACCGGCGCACGGGUGCGUAACGCGUAUACAAUCUACCUUUUACAGAGGGAUAGCCCAGAGAAAUUUGGAUUAAUACCUCAUAGUAUUUUUGAAUGGCAUCAUUUGAUUAUUAAAGUUCCAACGGUAAAAGAUGAGUAUGCGUCCCAUUAGCUAGAUGGUAAGGUAACGGCUUACCAUGGCUACGAUGGGUAGGGGUCCUGAGAGGGAGAUCCCCCACACUGGUACUGAGACACGGACCAGACUCCUACGGGAGGCAGCAGUGAGGAAUAUUGGACAAUGGGCGCAAGCCUGAUCCAGCCAUGCCGCGUGCAGGAAGAAGGUCCUAUGGAUUGUAAACUGCUUUUAUACAGGAAGAAACACACCCUCGUGAGGGUACUUGACGGUACUGUAUGAAUAAGGACCGGCUAACUCCGUGCCAGCAGCCGCGGUAAUACGGAGGGUCCAAGCGUUAUCCGGAAUCAUUGGGUUUAAAGGGUCCGUAGGCGGUUUAAUAAGUCAGUGGUGAAAGCCCAUCGCUCAACGAUGGAACGGCCAUUGAUACUGUUAAACUUGAAUUAUUAGGAAGUAACUAGAAUAUGUUAGUGUAGCGGUGAAAUGC
This 628-nucleotide ribosomal RNA is filed under the name uncultured bacterium. Its description in RNAcentral is "bacterial SSU rRNA". It matches the Rfam family "Bacterial small subunit ribosomal RNA", at positions 61 to 689 of the family's 1533-position model. The record is from RNAcentral.